Molecule: long non-coding RNA, 345 nt
Filed under: Nicotiana benthamiana
Lineage: Eukaryota; Viridiplantae; Streptophyta; Magnoliopsida; Solanales; Solanaceae
Description: long non-coding RNA (NBEN_LNC029419)
Rfam family: Eukaryotic small subunit ribosomal RNA (bases 1-244)
Source: RNAcentral
UGGGCCGCACGCGCGCUACACUGAUAUAUUCAACGAGUUUAUAGCCUUGGCCGACAUACCCGGGAAAUCUUUGAAAUUUCAUCGUGAUGGGGAUUGAUCAUUGCAAUUGUUGGUCUUCAACGAGGAAUUCCUAGUAAGCGCGAGUCAUCAGCUCGCGUUGACUACGUCCCUGCCCUUUGUACACACCGCCUCCGACAGGCCCGGGUAAUCUUUGAAAUUUCAUCGUGAUGGGGAUUGAUCAUUGCAAUUGUUGGUCUUCAACGAGGAAUUCCUAGUAAGCGCGAGUCAUCAGCUCGCGUUGACUACGUCCCCGCCAUUUGUACACACCGUCCGUCGCUCCUACCG